RNAcentral lists this long non-coding RNA (488 nucleotides) under Gossypium raimondii (Peruvian cotton). RNAcentral's name for it is "long non-coding RNA (GRAI_LNC001608)". Lineage: Eukaryota; Viridiplantae; Streptophyta; Magnoliopsida; Malvales; Malvaceae. The record is from RNAcentral.
GAUGGUCAUAUACCCAAGGAAAUAAAAGAAUCGGUUACAUUUUUCAUAUGAUCUCCUAUUUUAUUUUAGAUAGACUAAAAAAAAAGAACUCGGUUCUUUCUUUUUGUAUUAUAUCGCUUUGACUCCUUUUCCAUUUAUUCUAUUCUAUUUAUAUUAUUCUAAUUAUUCUAAUUCUAUGUAUUUCUUUUUUUGUUUUAAUAAAUUAUUAAAUUUAUUAUAAAAUUAUUCAUUAUUAUGAUUAUGAAUUUUCAUUUACCUAUGUCUAAACGGAGUUAAAAAUAUAUUCUAUUUAUCUAGCUAGAAAUGUAUUUUUUUUUUUUCAAUUGAAAAUUCCCAAUAAUAAUAAUUCUUAUUAGAAUUAGGGGGCAGGUUUCAUGUCAAUGGCAAAAUACCUCAUUUGUUGCAACACUCCUUUAAACAAUAAAUAAGAAAUAAGUAAACAAGAAAUUAAGAAAUAAGGGGGUUCUCUUGAACUAAGAAGGGGAAGG